GGUCGAAAGGGGAAAUUCAUUCGCGUUUCGACAGUUGGAGUUGGACGAUGUGACGGAUGGCGUUCGCGUCGUCCGCACCCUUCGUUCAUCUAACCGAUGUCGAACGCGUGCACUUUUCCCCUAGUAGGACGUCGCGAUCCGUUGGGUGUCUGUCUAAGACUCGGGGUGGAGCCCGUGGGACUUUAAUGUCGUGCGGACCCUCGGUGUUCCGACAGACUCGCUCGACGGUAUACAAAUGGCGCGGGGCCGCUAAUUAGUUAGCGUUCGGCCCGUAGCAAGCACGUUCUGCGUUUGACGGCGAUCGGACUUGGUGCCGAUUCUGUCCCAGAACGACUGUUGGUUACGGUGUUCUCGAACAGACCUCG
Molecule: ribosomal RNA, 365 nt
Filed under: Lactica sp. BMNH 846625
Lineage: Eukaryota; Metazoa; Arthropoda; Insecta; Coleoptera; Chrysomelidae
Description: eukaryotic LSU rRNA
Source: RNAcentral